CAUCGAGUCUGAAUGAUACUGAAGACUUUCAGAUUCUUCUUCAGAUAUCUGCCGUCAUGAUUAUUUUCACUCUCCUCAGUUUUUUGUGGACGUUUAUUGGCCACACAGAGGCAGAUGUAAUAAAAUCCUCGUCAGAGGAUGAAAAUAAACUUGUUGGUGACACUGUUACUCUGUCCUGCAGUUACAAACACUAUACGGGUACUGUACAGAAUUUACAAUGGUACAGACAAUAUCCCAGAUCCAAACCGGAGUACCUCCUUUACAUUUUCCCACAUGGAGCUAUGAGUGAAGGUAGACCAGAGAGAUUUUCAGCUGAAGUUCAUCAAGAUAUUAAAAAAGUGGAUCUGAAGAUCUCCUCUGCUGUUCAGGCAGAUUCUGCCAUGUACUAUUGUGCCCUGGUGCCCACAGUGACAGGAAAUAUAACUGCAUCAUACAAAAACCNACACAAUGAGCUCAAGACUCAUCAUGGAAGGUCAAAUCUUGCCACAGGGUGGAGCUCCAGACUUAAAUCACAGUGUUUCAGUGAGAAAAGACACAUCUGA
Non-coding RNA from Megalobrama amblycephala (Wuchang bream), 542 nucleotides. Lineage: Eukaryota; Metazoa; Chordata; Actinopteri; Cypriniformes; Xenocyprididae. The record is from the annotation of a RefSeq genome assembly.